GGAUGUGAGGGUGAUCUGGCUGCAACAUCUGUUACCCCAUUGAUCACCAGGGUUGAUUCAGCUGAUCUGGCUGGCUAGGAAGGUGUCCCCUUCCUCCCUCACCGCUCCAUGUGUGUCCCCUCCAAAGCUGCACACUAAGUAGAAGAGGACGGCCUUCCCCAAAUAGAAACAGACAGGUCUUCAGUCAAGGGUAUAGGAGUAGUUGCGCUCCCCUGCUAGAACCUCCAAACAAGCUCUCAAGGUCCAGCGAAGAAGCAAUUACAGAAGCCAGACCUCCCACCUUCUGCACCCCAUAAAGAUCUUUGGUCCAUAAUCCCAGAAAGAUAAAGAAUAGGAAACCUU
This is an unclassified non-coding RNA of Erinaceus europaeus (western European hedgehog), 342 nucleotides long. Its record names the gene 7SK. It matches the Rfam family "7SK RNA". From Rfam's summary of the family: 7SK was discovered as an abundant small nuclear RNA in the mid-70s but a possible function has only recently been suggested. Two independent studies have found that 7SK RNA binds the CDK9/cyclin T complex (known as elongation factor P-TEFb). P-TEFb activates transcription by phosphorylating the C-terminal domain of RNA polymerase II. Lineage: Eukaryota; Metazoa; Chordata; Mammalia; Eulipotyphla; Erinaceidae. The record is from Ensembl.